GGGGUUGUGGCUCAAAGGUAGACCACUCGCCUACCAUGUGUGAGGCCCUGGGUUCCGUCCUCAGCACCCCCU
This 72-nucleotide transfer RNA is filed under the name Ictidomys tridecemlineatus (thirteen-lined ground squirrel). Its description in RNAcentral is "Spermophilus tridecemlineatus (thirteen-lined ground squirrel) tRNA". It matches the Rfam family "tRNA". Rfam says of the family: Transfer RNA (tRNA) molecules are approximately 80 nucleotides in length. Lineage: Eukaryota; Metazoa; Chordata; Mammalia; Rodentia; Sciuridae. The record is from Rfam by way of RNAcentral.